UACGAAGGGGGCUAGCGUUGUUCGGAUUUACUGGGCGUAAAGCGCACGUAGGCGGAUUGUUAAGUCAGGGGUGAAAUCCUGGAGCUCAACUCCAGAAUUGCCUUUGAUACUGGCUUUCUAGAGGCUGGAAGAGGUUAGUGGAAUUCCCAGUGUAGAGGUGAAAUUCGUAGAUAUUGGGAAGAACACCAGUGGCGAAGGCGGCUAACUGGUCCAGAUCUGACGCUGAGGUGCGAAAGCGUGGGGAGCAAAC
This 250-nucleotide ribosomal RNA is filed under the name uncultured bacterium. Its description in RNAcentral is "partial 16S ribosomal RNA". It matches the Rfam family "Bacterial small subunit ribosomal RNA", at positions 524 to 773 of the family's 1533-position model. The record is from RNAcentral.